This 535-nucleotide long non-coding RNA is filed under the name Rattus norvegicus (Norway rat). RNAcentral describes it as "long non-coding RNA NONRATT011985". The record is from RNAcentral. Lineage: Eukaryota; Metazoa; Chordata; Mammalia; Rodentia; Muridae.
UAGUAAAUACAAGGAGUUUGCCAAGGAUGGCCCUCACUCUGGUUAUUAGGAAUAUGAAAAGGAAAAAACAAAAGAUUACAAUGAAGAAAAAAGCCAGAUACUAUUUAGGCCAGGUGAUUGUUAAGGUUAGUGAUAGGUUGACAGCACGAACCCUUGAAUGCCUGCUCUAGGACAUGAGAAGGGCUCCACCAAAACCCAGAACUUAUAUUAGAGCGUCAGAUAGACCGAAUCAAAUGGACUCUUCACAAGAUAUUUGGCUCAUACUACUCAAAGCCUUCAAGGUCAUAAGUGAGUAAAGUCUGAGAAACAGACCGGAGGAAACAACAGUUUAGGGUGAGAUUUUAAAACGGAAACGCGGCACUACUGGUAAAAUUCAUGACAAUGUAAUAACUACAAAGCGUGAAUUCCUGGUAAUGAACCCUGUUGACUUCUGACUGUGGUAAAGGGAAUGUUAAUAGGGGAAACAUAAAGGUAAGAGACUAUUAACAUCUGGUUAUACCUCAAAUAAAAUGUAUAAUUUAUUUGUUCCUGUAAA